UACAGAGGGUGCUAGCGUUGUUCGGAAUCAUUGGGCGUAAAGGGCGUGUAGGCGGUUUGUUAAGUCAUGUGUGAAAGCCCCCGGCUCAACCGGGGAACGACGCAUGAAACUGGCAAGCUAGAGUACCGAAGAGGGGGGUGGAAUUCCCGGUGUAGCGGUGAAAUGCGUAGAUAUUGGGAGGAACACCAGUGGCGAAGGCGGCUUACUGGACCGGUUCUGACGCUGAGGCGCGAAAGCGUGGGGAGCAAACGGG
RNAcentral lists this ribosomal RNA (253 nucleotides) under uncultured bacterium. RNAcentral describes it as "partial 16S ribosomal RNA". It matches the Rfam family "Bacterial small subunit ribosomal RNA", at positions 524 to 776 of the family's 1533-position model. The record is from RNAcentral.